Molecule: ribosomal RNA, 222 nt
Filed under: uncultured bacterium
Lineage: Bacteria
Description: partial 16S ribosomal RNA
Rfam family: Bacterial small subunit ribosomal RNA
Source: RNAcentral
AGUAAUGCUUGGGAAUCUAGCUUAUGGAGGGGGGUAACUACGGGAAACUGUAGCUAAUACCGCGUAGAAUCGAGAGAUGAAAGUGUGGGACCUUCGGGCCACAUGCCAUAGGAUGAGCCCAAGUGGGAUUAGGUAGUUGGUGAGGUAAAGGCUCACCAAGCCGACGAUCUCUAGCUGGCCUGAGAGGAUGACCAGCCACACUGGGACUGAGACACGGCCCAG